Gadus chalcogrammus (walleye pollock) is the source of this 376-nucleotide long non-coding RNA. RefSeq lists it as uncharacterized. NCBI's taxonomy places the organism in Eukaryota, Metazoa, Chordata, Actinopteri, Gadiformes, Gadidae. The transcript is spliced from 4 exons. The record is from RefSeq and is a predicted model, not a curated record.
GAGUGACAGGGAUUAGUCCCGCCUCCACUGUGCCUCUCUCGUGCGCUCCCGAGAAGUGUAGCGUGUGCGGAACGCGACAGCCGAGCAGCAGAUAUCGGCCACUGAGCUUUGAUGAGCGGUGUUUAGGAAACUUGAUGAGCGCUUUUGGAGCUCCUUUCAGCGGCUGGUGAAGACGAGGGAGUGCUGCAGCGGUUCUCUUCUCCCACGGGUCGAAUCAAAAAAUGAAAUUCUGGAUUUGCGUGCUAGCGGUGGCCGUGGCAGUGCAGUCGACGCACGGAGGGGCUAACCCAGACGAGCCAUGUGCGGGUCAGGACUGCAGCGGAGGAUGCAGGUGUAACCCAGAGAAAGGAGGCAGGGUAAGUCUUCAGCUGCCAUG